UCCCUUUCCUGAUGAAUCAUGAUGUCAUUAAUUUUUGAUGUUGUGGGGAGUCAGGACUGUUACUUUGAAAAAAUUAGAGUGUUUAAAGCAAGCACGCGCUUGAAUACAUUAGCAUGGAAUAAUGAAAUAGGACGUUCGAUUCUAUUUUGUUGGUUUCUAGGAUCAACGUAAUGAUUAAUAGGGAUAGUUGGGGGCAUUAGUAUUCAAUUGUCAGAGGUGAAAUUCUUGGAUUUAUUGAAGACUAACUACUGCGAAAGCAUUUGCCAAGGAUGUUUUCAUUAAUCAAGAACGAAAGUUAGGGGAUCGAAGACGAUCAGAUACCGUCGUAGUCUUAACCAUAAACUAUGCCGACUAGGGAUCGGAUGAUGUUAAUUUUUUAAUGACUCACUCGGCGCCUUACG
RNAcentral lists this ribosomal RNA (401 nucleotides) under uncultured Glomeromycotina. Its description in RNAcentral is "SSU rRNA". It matches the Rfam family "Eukaryotic small subunit ribosomal RNA", at positions 693 to 1092 of the family's 1831-position model. The record is from RNAcentral. Lineage: Eukaryota; Fungi; Glomeromycota.